UAACCGGUUUAAGAACAAUCGAGCUUUUUAGGUAUUUGGUUUAUUAUAAUCGGAAACCGUACAAAGUAAUAACCAAUCGCUUAAAACGGUUUUCCCAAACCGAACCGGAUUGCACAAAUUCGAUUCGAUCCUCCUCUUCUCCAACGGCAUCCUCUUCUCUCGUCACGACAAGGAUUUGUCGAAAAUGUCGCAUUUGUUCUCCACUCUCUGUGAUUCUUUGAUUACGUUGAUCUUCUUAGCUCUUGGCCACUCCUAGCUGAUUUUGGUGAGGAAAAUGGUUGAUUUAGAGAGUCACAAAUGUCAGCGUUUUUGGUUUGUGGCUUCAUGAUUCAAUUCCAUUUCUGUAUUAUUUUCUUAAAUGUUUGAUCUUUUCCAUCUUUAUAACAUCACAGUAGCAUCUUUAUGUAGUUACAAGAACACAGAGUAAGAAGAGUGGUUCUUUUACAACAUUCUGGAAGCUUAAUUUGAGUGAAAUCUAAACAAGAAACUUACAGAAAAAAAAAAUAUAUAUAUAUAUGUUGUAGAGGAAAGAAUGUAGUAGGUUAACUAAUAACUGUUGUGCUUGUGGUGUGGCACUUUUCGUAUUUAUCACUGAAACCGAGAUAAGUCGUAUUUCAGAACAUGACUUGCUACGAUGGCGUUUGUCUUCUCUGUUGGGUGAAAUGAGUCCCAAAAUACAUAUUUGCUUGCAUCAGAACAUGUGAAUGGGUUCAUUUUAUCACACAAGUAGCUCAUCUCAUAGUACCCCGUUCCGCAACACGCACUCCUUACAUUUUGGAAACCUGCAAUGCAAUUAGGAAUAUCAUCAGAAGCAUUCUUCAUUUAAGAGCACUUGGUACGUAUUGAAACUUAGCCCUUUGUCUUUGUAGGGUUGCAAUGGCUGGGAAAAGCUUCUUGUUAGAACUUUGUACUAACCGAAUGCUUCAGGAUGGUAUAUGAUUUCUGAAACCAGGUCAUACGGAUUUGAAAACACAAGCUGGAUUCCGUCCAGUUCUCUGUUCAACUGGUAGACUUUCAUUUCCAUUUUGGUGUUGAAAUCUCUAGCCACAAUGUUGUAUUCUUCGAUACAUUUGCUUCCAUAAAAGAGCUGAGUUGUUCUUUCCAGGGGCAAGCAUCCAAAAGGAGAGAGUCCCGACCAAGACAUCUUUCGAGCUCCGAGUCUGUAAAUAUCUGUCACGAAAUCUGCUGCGAUUCCUAUCAGGAAAUUUUGGUACUCAUUCACAGCGUACUUCCGUAACUUACGAGGAAGAAGAUAGUAAUUCUCCAGGAAAUCGUUGGUUCCGAUACUAAUCAGGUAAAGGGCUUCACUAAUAAUCUCAUUAGCAUUCUCUUCACCCAAGUAGCUUCUUAGCCUGAUCUGGUAUUCUUUGUAGUACUCUACUUCCUUCCAAAGCGGCAUCACAGACUUUAGAAGUCGAUGGCAUUUCAAAAAAACCAAGCCAUUAUUAGCUUAACUAGGAGUAUGAAAUCUAAAUCCACUGCAAUAGAAUAUAUAUGUUAUGUUGUAAGAUAUAUAACUAUGCUUGACUUACUAACACAGCAGAGGUUGCAUUGUCUAAGCCGGUUCCAGCUGAAGCGAAACAGACACCAGUGGCAAAGUCUGCAAUGUUGUAUGCUGGAUCUAGAUAGGCAGGG
RNAcentral lists this long non-coding RNA (1635 nucleotides) under Arabidopsis lyrata. Its description in RNAcentral is "long non-coding RNA (ALYR_LNC000806)". Lineage: Eukaryota; Viridiplantae; Streptophyta; Magnoliopsida; Brassicales; Brassicaceae. The record is from RNAcentral.